AUUGAACGCUGGCGGCAGGCCUAACACAUGCAAGUCGAACGGUAACAGGAAGAAGCUUGCUUCUUUGCUGACGAGUGUCGGACGGGUGAGUAAUGUCUGGGAAACUGCCUGAUGGAGGGGGAUAACUACUGGAAACGGUAGCUAAUACCGCAUAACGUCGCAAGACCAAAGAGGGGGACCUUCGGGCCUCUUGCCAUCGGAUGUGCCCAGAUGGGAUUAGCUAGUAGGUGGGGUAACGGCUCACCUAGGCGACGAUCCCUAGCUGGUCUGAGAGGAUGACCAGCCACAAUGGAACUGAGACACGGUCCAGACUCCUACGGGAGGCAGCAGUGGGGAAUAUUGCACAAUGGGCGCAAGCCUGAUGCAGCAAUGCCGCGUGUAUGAAGAAGGCCUUCGGGUUGUAAAGUACUUUCAGCGGGGAGGAAGGGAGUAAAGUUAAUACCUUUGCUCAUUGACGUUACCCGCAGAAGAAGCACCGGCUAACUCCGU
This 489-nucleotide ribosomal RNA is filed under the name uncultured bacterium. RNAcentral's name for it is "partial 16S ribosomal RNA". It matches the Rfam family "Bacterial small subunit ribosomal RNA", at positions 30 to 506 of the family's 1533-position model. The record is from RNAcentral.